Molecule: long non-coding RNA, 618 nt
Organism: Panthera uncia (snow leopard)
Lineage: Eukaryota; Metazoa; Chordata; Mammalia; Carnivora; Felidae
Exons: 3
Source: RefSeq, a predicted model, not a curated record
UCUCUCUCUGUCUCUCUCUCUCUCUCUCUCUCUCUCUCUGCCCUACCGAUCCUUGUGCACAUGGGUGCAUUUUCUCUCUCUCUCUCAAAAUAAAUAAAUUAAAAAAAAAAAAAAAAAAAAACUAGGGGAGAGAGUUGGUUGGGGAAAGAGAAAGAGAAAAACUUGAAUUCUUAAACUGAUUGAACUUGAGAUAUCUGAACAUUCCCAGACGAAAGAAGUGUCCCUAACAUCAGACCAGAUGAAAACUACCGGAGCUUGGGACUAGAUGAGAAGAAAUGGGAAAGAAAAAAAUGAAGAGAGAAAAAAACACAAGUUAAACCAAUGAAGCAGGAACCAGAGAGAGCAGGUGGAGUCAAAACUGCAGCGGGGGAAACUGGAACAAUUUCCAAGAGGUUAGAGAGUGUGGAGCUGCAGACCGGUGUUGCUAGAUCAACUGUGUAUGGACACCUCGGCUACAGAGCCUCUUGUUUGUAAAUAUCCACUGGAUGGUUUUACUGGUCAGAUGCCUUCCACAUUUUAAUGGAAAAUACUUAAGAAGGUCUGCUCGAUAAGCUGCAUCAUUUGCUCACACUCAAAAGGGACCGAGAUGUGUCCAUCAAUAACAACUCACAUUGCAUU